RNAcentral lists this ribosomal RNA (992 nucleotides) under uncultured bacterium. RNAcentral's name for it is "bacterial SSU rRNA". It matches the Rfam family "Bacterial small subunit ribosomal RNA", at positions 28 to 1018 of the family's 1533-position model. The record is from RNAcentral.
AUUGAACGCUGGCGGCAUGCCUUACACAUGCAAGUCGAACGCGAAAGCGGGGCAACCCGCAAGUAGAGUGGCGAACGGGUGAGUAAUACAUCGGAACAUUUCCAGUAGCGGGGGAUAACCUGUCGAAAGAUAGGCUAAUACCGCAUACGAUCUACGGAUGAAAGCGGGGGACCGAAAGGCCUCGCACUAUUGGAGUGGCCGAUGUCGGAUUAGCUAGUUGGUGGGGUAAAAGCCUACCAAGGCGACGAUCCGUAGCUGGUCUGAGAGGACGAUCAGCCACACUGGAACUGAGACACGGUCCAGACUCCUACGGGAGGCAGCAGUGGGGAAUUUUGGACAAUGGGCGCAAGCCUGAUCCAGCCAUGCCGCGUGAGUGAAGAAGGCCUUCGGGUUGUAAAGCUCUUUCGGUGGAGACGAAACGGUCCGUGUUAAUAACACGGACUACUGACGGUACCCACAGAAGAAGCACCGGCUAACUACGUGCCAGCAGCCGCGGUAAUACGUAGGGUGCAGGCGUUAAUCGGAAUUACUGGGCGUAAAGCGUGCGCAGGCGGUCUGUUAAGACAGGUGUGAAAUCCCCGAGCUCAACUUGGGAAUUGCGCUUGUUACUGGCAGGCUAGAGUGUGGCAGAGGGGGGUGGAAUUCCACGUGUAGCAGUGAAAUGCGUAGAUAUGUGGAGGAACACCGAUGGCGAAGGCAGCCCCCUGGGUCAACACUGACGCUCAGGCACGAAAGCGUGGGGAGCAAACAGGAUUAGAUACCCUGGUAGUCCACGCCCUAAACUAUGUCAACUAGUUGUCGGUGAAGAAAUUCCUUGGUAACGAAGCUAACGCGUGAAGUUGACCGCCUGGGGAGUACGGUCGCAAGAUUAAAACUCAAAGGAAUUGACGGGGACCCGCACAAGCGGUGGAUUAUGUGGAUUAAUUCGAUGCAACGCGAAAAACCUUACCUACCCUUGACAUGUACGGAAUUCCGCAGAGAUGGGAAGUGCC